GGGGAGAGGAGAGUUGGUCUGGGGAGCUAUGGAGGAGCAUUAGACUCAAUAUGUGUUGCAGGCAAUUGAGUAGAAACUACAAUAAACCUAAAACUUAUUGUCUGUAUGGGAAAAGGGGACAUUUUAUGAACACAUAAACAUGCCUUCUGUAAAAGAAGGUCAGUAAUAAUAAAGUCAGGGGCAGUGGGGAAAUCUGUCAGAAAAUGAGAGCAGCAGUAGAAUUUGAAGUGUUCAUCUCUUUGGAGCUUCAAGAAGUCCUUAGGAACACUUGUGUGGUGAACAUAAUGGAAAAAGAAGAGUGAAGGGACAAGGCUAGAGAUCACACCACAGGCUUUGCUGACUCAGGUGUAUUUUCACUUCUGCGCUGCCACGCAUGAAAAUAUGAACAAAUACUCUGAGGAGCAGUGAAAUCCUGUAAUGGGAUCUGACAGCUCUGGGCUUCUGGGAAGUUCCCAAACCUGAAAUAAACUGAAUGCUUUUAACAUUCAACAGAGUUGGUUUCAACAGCUGUAGAAACUCUUGAACUUGCUCCAUGUAACAUUUUUGUGUGCAAACAAAUGUCAGCCGGUGCUAUAGGGCAUAUUUUAGAGGAGCUCAGGACCAGAUUUCCAGGCAGUAAAAGUAAUUAUGGCUGAUCAAGUUUUGGAAUAUACAGGGAAAAUAAAAAUAUUUAUUUAAGAAACUGAAAAUAUUUUAAAUCUCUGCUCAGCUCUUGCUUGCCAUAGGCACUUUAUUUCAAACAAUCUUUUCUACUGUUUUGCAUCCCACAGCAAUAGGCUGGCUUUUCUAGUCUCCUUCAGGAAAAAAGAAAAGAAAAGAAAACAAAAUAAAACAAGUGAAUCAGAGCACAGCUUCUACCAUCAAACUCAAAUUUACACACACACUUUUCCUCGUGUCUAGAAACAUGUAUCGUAUGACUAAAUCUCUUAUGUACAUGUAUUUAAAUGCAGAUAAAUUGUCAUGUCAUUUGUGUCAGGGUAUACAUACAGUGUGUCUGUAUACCUUUUCUUAACCACAUGGAUUUGCUUUAUUUAGAAGAAUUCUUCCAUAGAAGUAUCUCCAUCAAAUGUUAAGCUGUCUGUGAAAGACUGGGCUAAAAAAAAAAAAAAAGAUACAGCGUGCUCCAAAGUACAGCUUGUCACGCACAUCUUGAAAUUCUUAUUUAAGACUGGAUAGUGAAAUAUCAACAUCUAUUUACAGUAACUCGCUACGGUUCUGAAAAAGGAUCAGCCACUAAUGGGAUGAUCCUUUGAUGUGUGUCUGUAUGGGAACUGUUGAAUCACAGCUGAACCUCUGAUUGACCACCUGAGGCAAGCUCUGAGUCAGCCAUGGGAGCACAGGUGAAGGCAAUUGACCUGUGUGACAGAAAGGGGUGGAGCCUGGCUCCACCUCUCCGAGACCCCAUUUAAGGGCUGACUGCCACAGAGGAGAGGUCUCUUUCUUUGGAGAUUGCUCCUCUUGGAGUCUUUUUGGCAAGCCCAGGACAUAGAUGGAAAUCCCCCUGCACUUAAUCCCAACACAGCUCCCAAGGGGAGCCUGCGAUACUAGCAGUUCUGUAGAACUAACAACAGCACAUCAAAGUUCCUGCAUGGUGAAUGUAAGCAGAGGAAGCCUGGGGCUUCCUUCACUGGAUUUUUUUCUUGCCACACCUCAUUAAGAUAAAGGCACAAUAGCUUUUAAGCUUUAAAAUCUAAUACUUUCAUUAUUAGGCCUGGUAGAAAUGUAACUGCCUGGCAGAAGGGAGAGGCAGUCCUGGUGUCAUGCUGUAGUUGAAAUGGAUUCUCUGGAAUUAUAUUAGCAAGAGUACCAAGCUGGUAAUUCCUCUGGGACCAAUUUUAGUGGGACCAUUGCUGUUUUGUUAUUGUUUCUUCAAUGGAUAUUGCUUGUACUGAGUAAUUUCAGUUUCAGGUUCAAGAAAGAGCUACAAAUGUGACAGAAGCCGAAGGAAGGUAGCUGUGCUGUGCUCCUUGCAUGCUAGUGUUUGGCUGAGAUGUCUUAAAGACAAAAGGCAGCAGAGGUCAAGUAAGUUCCAACUAAGGCUCGUCAACUGAUUUAUAGCAAUUAUGUGCUCAGUUUCUCAUACCAUUAAGUCAUGCAAUGAACAUAAAUUGAGUUACGGAGCUGUUAUUGGAGACUGACGUCUCACUACCCCGUAUGGAGGGCAUUUUAGGACUUUUUUUCCUUGCACUCUGCAUAUUCACUGUCCUCUGUAGAGUUAAAGAUGAUCUGGCUACAGCUUCUGUAGGCCUUUGCUUAAUGGGGGAUUUGGACCUACACUGAAAUUUCAGCAGCUCAAUGCAAAAUGUGACAUAGUCCUCCCCCUGUCCUGAGUGCCUGGUGCUGGCAGUAUAUUAUCAUGGACUGCCUUUUGACCCUACCAGCCCCACAUGUGCUGGCUGGACAUUAAGAGCACAUAACUUCCAGGGAAGAAAAGGAAAUACGUCCAUGAGUACAUCCCCCUCAGGUCAGUUCUUCAUAACAAUGCUCUCUGAAUUUGUUUCUCUGUUUGAUAGGCCUAACCAGCUGGGAGUAACAAAGCUACAAAAACUCUUGAACUCUCUUGCACAAGCAGCUUGCAGGCCUGAAAUAACUGCCUUUGGAGCAGUCCAAGGUGAAGGCAAGCCAGAAGCAGCAAAAGCUGCUCUAGCUUUAACUUAGCUUUGGGUAUUGUUCUGUGCUUCCUGAGGCCUUGUUUUUUUUUCCACAGAACAAUUUGAGGAACUAGGGGUGUGUUCCUCAUAGCAAGAGGCAUUGUGUCCUGCCUGGUCAGUGCCAUCAGGAGGCUGAGGAGAGGCAGCUCGUAUGAUUUUUUUUUUUUUGCUGUUGGUGCCCUCCAGAUGAAGCACCUGGAGCUGCUGAGGGGCAUCCCUGCCUGUGCCCUCAGCCAGGCCAGUGCUUACCUCUAGAAGGGGUGGAUCAGGCCUUGUAACCCUAUGAUCCCAUGCUGUCUCAGCAGCACAGGUUGGAAUGCGAAAUAUGGGAAGGAUCUACGGAUGUUUCUGAGAAUUCACAGAGGAAAUGCAGUCCAAAGCCACUGAAAGGUGGGGAGCUGUAAUGGCUCAAUUCCACACCUUCUUCCUGAGCCAGCACACAGUGUAGCAUGGUGCUCACCAAGGGGCUGCAUGUCCUGAGAGCCAACCCAGUGGGUCAGCUUCCACUCUGACUUUAUUUUAGAAGUCCAUCACCCUUUGGCAUGCACCACUUGUUAGCUGUUUGCUUAGGUAUUUUUCUAAUGCCCUCUUGACUCUUUCACCCAGGCUCAGUAAUUUCACUCCUGUCUUUGUUUCAUUGUCUUGCUGGCUAUAAUGUAUAGAUUCUCACUUAAAAGCUCAGCAACAAUUUUUCUUACUGAAGCCAAGACAAGAUUACACAUCUGCACAUCACAAAACCAAGCCCUGGUCAUGGGGCUCUGUGUUACAGUUCCUUCCUUGGUGGCUGGGUAUCUUCAAUACUGAGCCAUUGUUAUGCCUGGUAUUAGAGUCUAGCUGCCAUCAGUGGGGUUCAGCAACUUCUUUUUGGAAUGCUUACCCUAAAGACAAUCUUGUUCUGCUGCGAGAGUUUGCUUAAGGGAUGAUGAACUGUCCUAGCGUACCAAUGCAUUCACUCUUAGCAUCUUGUACUGUGGCUGUAGCUAACAGCACUUGUACUUUGAGGAAAAACUGCUUCUGUGUUUUAAAUUCCUCUGCCAUCAUUGGCAUUGAGUGCAAGGUAAUUCUAUCAAAGUGUUCCUGCAUUAGAAAAUAGCAACACCUGCUGCCCUUUUUUUUUUUUAUUUGAAGAAACUAUUGAGCAAGUUCACUUACUUGAAAUUGUGCGUGCCUAGCUUUCUGGAAGCCAGCACAGCUCCAUCUUAAUUCAUUCAACAAAUUUCCUACUCUCAUCUAAACAUAAUGAUAUUACUAAACAUUUUCCACUGACCUUAGACUACUGUUUAUUUUAUUUAGGGAGACUGAAGCUGAAUGAUGUUACCACAACCAGCUAAGUGAUUUUCUGUUUGUGAUCAUUUCUUAUGUAUUAUAUUGUUUCUCUCUCUUCUGUAAUGCAGACAGACUUUACAUUUCUUUCUGUAUAACUUCAGUGAGAGUGAUCGGAUCUACAGCCACAUUCUAUGCAGUAUUUUGGGGAAUCAAAUGAUAUAGAAAUGGUUAUACUGUUUCUCUUAUUUUCUUUGUAGAAAUUUGCUACUAUCAUUCUUUCCUGUGAAUUGAUUUAAAACUCUUGUAGGUAUUUUUGUCAUUCCUUCUUUUAUUCCAGGAGAAAACUUGGAGAGGCCACCUCAUCUUGUGCUGCAUGUGGGUCUCAUUCCUAACAAUCCCACAUUUGUUGGGAAGGAUCAGUCAGGAUCACAGAACAGGCAGUGCCUCCUUCUCUUUUAGAAGAGGUUUGGAGAACUCCCAACAUGACAAGGAGGAGCUUCUCCCUACACCUGGGGAUAUGGCAGCUGCAGUGCUGUUAGAGCCUAUAGUUCCUUUUUCCUGCAUGGUGGGAGCACAUGAUCUCAUUGCCAGCUUUCCCAGGGGCCAUUCUGUUUGGGAUUAUUGUGAACUGACAGAACAUUGAAAUCCUACACUGACUCUUAUUCCUAUUUCUAGAGAUACACCUGUGCAGUAGUGCAGCUUCUUCCUGCAGCCCAGAGCCGAGCUCAUUGCAUACCUGCCCUCUAGAGAGAGCAGCCUGCUUGUGCUAGCAAGGAGUGAGCUCUGGCACACAGGCACUCCAUGAUCACCCUUCCCAUACACCAGUGAAUGCCUGAGUGCUUGAGGUCACCAUGCUUCUUGUUUGCACUUUCUUGUAACACACUGGGCAGAACCAAAUCCUCACUCUGUGUCUCUACUUUGAUUGCUCACUGCCCUCUUCUCUCCUUGAGCUUAGCAAGAGUAUUUGCUAAUAGACCAUCCACUUGCACAUUCUUUCCCACCAUUUUCUGCUUAUUUACGGAUCUAGCUAGCUUUAUUUGUUAAACCUGCUAACUGCCAAGACACAAGAUGUAUCAACUAAAUCUUACAAGGGAAACAA
Gallus gallus (chicken) is the source of this 5016-nucleotide long non-coding RNA. RefSeq lists it as uncharacterized. Lineage: Eukaryota; Metazoa; Chordata; Aves; Galliformes; Phasianidae. The record is from RefSeq and is a predicted model, not a curated record. The transcript has 2 exons.